This 253-nucleotide ribosomal RNA is filed under the name uncultured bacterium. RNAcentral describes it as "partial 16S ribosomal RNA". It matches the Rfam family "Bacterial small subunit ribosomal RNA", at positions 524 to 776 of the family's 1533-position model. The record is from RNAcentral.
GACAGAGGGGGCAAGCGUUGUUCGGAAUCACUGGGCGUAAAGGGUGCGUAGGCUGCACGGUAAGUCAGAGGUGAAAUCCCGGAGCUCAACUUCGGAAUUGCCUCCGAUACUGCCGUGCUUGAGGACUGGAGAGGAGAUUGGAAUUCACAGUGGAGCAGUGAAAUGCGUAGAUAUUGUGAGGAACACUAGUGGCGAAGGCGAAUCUCUGGACAGUUCCUGACGCUGAGGCACGAAGGCCAGGGGAGCAAACGGG